This 345-nucleotide unclassified non-coding RNA is filed under the name soil metagenome. RNAcentral describes it as "partial contains 5.8S ribosomal RNA, internal transcribed spacer 2, and large subunit ribosomal RNA". The stretch from base 1 to 119 matches the Rfam family "5.8S ribosomal RNA", at positions 35 to 154 of the family's 154-position model. The record is from RNAcentral.
GAUGAAGACGUAGCGAAAUGCGAUACGUAAUGUGAAUUGCAGAAUUCAGUGAAUCAUCGAGUCUUUGAACGCACAUUGCGCCCCCUGGUAUUCCGGGGGGCAUGCCUGUCCGAGCGUCAUUGCUGCCCUCAAGCCCGGCUUGUGUGUUGGGUCUCGUCCCCCUUCCCGGGGGGACGGGCCCGAAAGGCAGCGGCGGCACCGCGUCCGGUCCUCGAGCGUAUGGGGCUUUGUCACCCGCUCUGUAGGCCCGGCCGGCGCUUGCCGAUCAACCAAAACUUUUUUCCAGGUUGACCUCGGAUCAGGUAGGGAUACCCGCUGAACUUAAGCAUAUCAAUAAGCGGAGGA